UGGGGAAUAUUGGACAAUGGGGGAAACCCUGAUCCAGCAAUGCCGCGUGAGUGAUGAAGGCCUUAGGGUUGUAAAGCUCUUUUACCCGGGAAGAUAAUGACUGUACCGGGAGAAUAAGCCCCGGCUAACUCCGUGCCAGCAGCCGCGGUAAUACGGAGGGGGCUAGCGUUGUUCGGAAUUACUGGGCGUAAAGCGCACGUAGGCGGCUUUGUAAGUUAGAGGUGAAAGCCCGGGGCUCAACCCCGGAACUGCCUUUAAGACUGCAUCGCUUGAACGUCGGAGAGGUGAGUGGAAUUCCGAGUGUAGAGGUGAAAUUCGUAGAUAUUCGGAAGAACACCAGUGGCGAAGGCGGCUCACUGGACGACUGUUGACGCUGAGGUGCGAAAGCGUGGGGAGCAAACA
This 402-nucleotide ribosomal RNA is filed under the name uncultured Sphingomonas sp. RNAcentral describes it as "bacterial SSU rRNA". It matches the Rfam family "Bacterial small subunit ribosomal RNA", at positions 355 to 774 of the family's 1533-position model. Lineage: Bacteria; Pseudomonadati; Pseudomonadota; Alphaproteobacteria; Sphingomonadales; Sphingomonadaceae. The record is from RNAcentral.